RNAcentral lists this ribosomal RNA (2537 nucleotides) under Avitellina centripunctata. RNAcentral's name for it is "SSU rRNA". It matches the Rfam family "Eukaryotic small subunit ribosomal RNA". The record is from RNAcentral. Lineage: Eukaryota; Metazoa; Platyhelminthes; Cestoda; Cyclophyllidea; Anoplocephalidae.
UCCUGCCAGUAGUCAUAUGCUUGUCUCAAAGAUUAAGCCAUGCAUGUCUCAGUGCAGGCCUUAAUACGGUGAAACCGCGAAUGGCUCAUUAAAUCAGCUAUGGUUUAUUGGAUCGUACCCGUUAAAUGGAUAACUGUAAUAACUCUAGAGCUAAUACAUGCCUCGAAGCCCUGACCCUGCUGCCUACUUGUCGGCCUGUCGGGCGGAUGGGUAGGUAGGUGGGGAAUGGGUGCACUUAUUAGAUCAGAAGCCAACCGACUGUGUGUGCGUGCUUGCAUGUGCACCAGUUGAGGCACCUCUGGUGACUCUGGAUAAUUGUUACAGAUCGCAGUCGGCCUUGAGUCGGCGACGGGUCCUUCAAAUGUCUGCCCUAUCAACUUUCGAUGGUAGGUGACCUGCCUACCAUGGUGAUAACGGGUAACGGGGAAUCAGGGUUCGAUUCCGGAGAGGGAGCCUGAGAAACGGCUACCACUUCCAAGGGAGGCAGCAGGCGCGCAAAUUACCCACUCCCGGCACGGGGAGGUGGUGACGAAAAAUACCGAUGCGGGACUCCUUCAAGAGGCUCCGUAAUCGGAAUGAGUGGACUCUAAAUCCUUUCACGAGGAUCAAUUGGAGGGCAAGUCUGGUGCCAGCAGCCGCGGUAACUCCAGCUCCAAUAGCGUAUAUUAAAGUUGCUGCAGUUAAAAAGCUCGUAGUUGGAUCUCGGUGGUAUUGUUGCCUGUUGGUAUUUGAGCGGUAGUGCGCGACCGACAGUGCUCUAUUGUUCUGCUCGCCUCGACUUCUGUCUGCCUACUCGUCAGUUGGCUCUGCAUUGGUGCUAUUGUGGCGCGAUUGCAUGUGCCGGAUGCUGGAGGCGGGAGGUCGGCGAUGUUGGACGAUGGUGUGGCUGCGGUCAUAGAAGAGUGCUACCGAUUCAAGCCGACGAGGUGGCGAUGCAACCUUUAAGCCAUGUCUGUGGUGUAAUAGCCGCAGGUGCGGGCGAGUGUUGGAUUGUGGUUAGUGGACCGUGCUGCUUGCUAAUUCUCUAGCCCUUAGCGCAGCGCAUUGCAGUGCAUGGGUAGGUUGGUGAGUUGGCUGGUCUGUUGACCGUGCGGUCGGCUCGUCUGCAUGCCUGAGGAUGCCCUUCAGUGGGUGUCCAAUUGGGCGGAUGGCACGUUUACUUUGAACAAAUUUGAGUGCUCAAAUCAGGCCGAUGUUGCCUGAAAAGUUUUGCAUGGAAUAAUGGAAUAGGACUUCGGUUCUAUUUCGUUGGUUUUCGGAUCCGAAGUAAUGAUCAAAAGAGACAGGCGGGGACGUUUGUAUGGCUGCGCUAGAGGUGAAAUUCAUGGACCGUAGCCAGACAGACUAAAGCGAAAGCAUUCGUCAAGCAUGUUUUCAUUGGCCAUGAGCGAAAGUCAGAGGCUCGAAGACGAUCAGAUACCGUCCUAGUUCUGACCAUAAACGAUGCCAACUGACGAUCCGUGGUGGUAGUGCCAAAUACCUUCCCCACGGGCAGUCCCCGGGAAACCUUUAAGUCUAUGGGUUCCGGGGGAAGUAUGGUUGCAAAGCUGAAACUUAAAGGAAUUGACGGAAGGGCACCACCAGGAGUGGAGCCUGCGGCUUAAUUUGACUCAACACGGGAAAACUCACCCGGGCCGGACACUAUGAGGAUUGACAGAUUGAGAGCUCUUUCUUGAUUUGGUGGUUGGUGGUGCAUGGCCGUUCUUAGUUGGUGGAGCGAUUUGUCUGGUUAAUUCCGAUAACGAACGAGACUCCAGCCUGCUAAUUAGUGCGUUUGUCCACUGCAUUUGCGUGGGUGAUGUGGGACGAGGCUGCUGCCACACGUCUGUGCUUGGUCAUCGCUCUGCUGAUUCGCCUUCGUCUUCUCCUACUGUUCUACGUGGUGGCUGCUCUUCGUGAUGUCUUGUCUUGUCUGCACUUGCUGCUGAUGCAGGCUCGUGGUAGUCUGCACAGUUGGCGGUGUAGAGAAGGAGAUUGGAGGAGUGGUGGCUGCUAGGGCGGGUAGGUGAGUGGCGAGUGGUGAAGAGGCAAUGGCGGCUGGCUGAGGACAAGUGGUGGGUCGGUCGGUCACACUUUUGCCCCCGAGUGCGGCGCGAACGCCUACUUCUUAGAGGGACAAGCGGGAGAAGCCGCACGAAAUAGAGCAAUAACAGGUCUGUGAUGCCCUUAGAUGUCCGGGGCCGCACGCGCGCUACAAUGACGGUGUCAACGAGUCAGGCCUUCUGGCCCGAAAGGGUUGGGCAAACUGGUCAAUCACCGUCGUGACAGGGAUCGGGGCUUGCAAUUCUUCCCCGUGAACGAGGAAUUCCUAGUAAGUGCAAGUCAUAAGCUUGCGCUGAUUACGUCCCUGCCCUUUGUACACACCGCCCGUCGCUACUACCGAUUGAAUGGUUUAGUAAGGUCCUUGGAUUGACGCUAUUGUGGGUGGUGUUGGAGAAGCGCGGCGUCGCGAGAUGCUGCGUUGCCGACACUGUCCCGAGGAGUGUUGAGAAGACGACCGAACUUGAUCAUUUAGAGGAAGUAAAAGUCGUAACAAG